GACGAACGCUGGCGGCGUGCUUAACACAUGCAAGUCGAACGGAAAGGCCCUGCUGUUGUGGGGUGCUAGAGUGGCGAACGGGUGAGUAACACGUGAGUAACCUGCCCUUGACUUUGGGAUAACUUCAGGAAACUGGGGCUAAUACCGGAUAGGAGCUCCUGCUGCAUGGGGGGGGGGGGAAAGUUUCGGCGGUUGGGGAUGGACUCGCGGCUUAUCAGCUUGUUGGUGGGGUAGUGGAUUACCAAGGCUUUGACGGGUAGCCGGCCUGAGAGGGUGACCGGCCACAUUGGGACUGAGAUACGGCCCAGACUCCUACGGGAGGCAGCAGUGGGGAAUAUUGCACAAUGGGCGGAAGCCUGAUGCAGCAACGCCGCGUGCGGGAUGACGGCCUUCGGGUUGUAAACCGCUUUCGCCUGUGACGAAGCGUGAGUGACGGUAAUGGGUAAAGAAGCACCGGCUAACUACGUG
RNAcentral lists this ribosomal RNA (468 nucleotides) under uncultured bacterium. Its description in RNAcentral is "partial 16S ribosomal RNA". It matches the Rfam family "Bacterial small subunit ribosomal RNA", at positions 28 to 507 of the family's 1533-position model. The record is from RNAcentral.